CUCUGUGUUACGGGAUGAAUUGGAUGUUGCCGAUAAAGCAACGUUUUUGACGUUACCGUAGUAGAAAGCCCCAGCUAACUACGUGCCAGCAGCUGCGGUAAUACGUAGGGGGCAAGCGUUGUCCGGAAUCACUGGGCGUAAAGCGCGCGUAGGCGGUGGAGUAAGUCAGACGUGAAAGGGUUCGGCUCAACCGAGCCAUUGCGUUUGAUACUACCUCACUUGAGUCUAGAAGAGGAAAGUGGAAUGUAUGGUGUAGCGGUGGAAUGCUUAGAUAUCAUAUAGAACACCCGUGGCGAAGGCGGCUUUCUGGUCUAAGACUGACGCUCAUGCGCGAAAGUUUGGGGAGCAACCGGGAUUAGAUACCCCGCUAGUCCUUACUGUAAACGAUGGGUACUAAGUGUAGGGGGAUUCAAUCCCUCUGUGCUGUAGCUAACGCAUUAAGUACCCCGCCUGGGGAGUACGGCCGCAAGGUUAAAACUCAAGGUAAUUGACGGGGGGCCGCACAAGCGGUGGAGCAUGUCGCUUAAUUCGAAGCAACGCGAAAAACCUUACCCGGGCUUGACAUCGCAGUGACCGCUAUAGAAAUAUAGUUUUCCUUCGGGACACUAUGACAGGUGCUGC
RNAcentral lists this ribosomal RNA (621 nucleotides) under uncultured Poribacteria bacterium. RNAcentral describes it as "bacterial SSU rRNA". It matches the Rfam family "Bacterial small subunit ribosomal RNA", at positions 431 to 1044 of the family's 1533-position model. The record is from RNAcentral. Lineage: Bacteria; Candidatus Poribacteria.